CAUGUUUCAAAACCACCUAAAGAAAAAACUUCAAUAAGUAAUUACUUUAAGCUUCUAAAAUCAAUCGCUGGUCAUCACAACAAAAACCUAACAGUGGAGGGUAUUCAUAAAAAAAUAAAUCUAGCCGACUCCAAAUUAUCGUGGGAGCAUGAGCGUUUCUGUAUGAAACGGUUUCCUGCAUUUACAUUAUCCUCAGCGAAAUCCCCUGUAAGUCCGCUGCGAACUACGAUGUUUAAGGAUAACGAAUCGUAUAUAAUAGAGCAUUUGGUUAUUUCCGUGAAGAAUAUAGCCGAAUCACUUGCUUGUUAUAUGUAUAAAAUAGAUCCCUUCUCUGAAGUUUUUGAAGGUCAUGCUGCUAUAAUUGAAGACAAUAUUCGUCCAUACCUCGGAAUCAAAGCGACUUUGCAGAAUAACGACAUUAAAGACGGAUUUGAAAAAUAUCUGAAAAACGUCAAAAUAUUUUUUGACAAACCGGAUGAACGGGAACCAGAUUUUAUGUUUUAUAAUAGCAACAAUCCAAAGCUUAAUAUCUAUCGAGUCAAGCCCGCAAUAUUUGAUCUAUUUCUAACUUUCGCUAUAUCCGUUUAUCUGUUUGGUGUUUAUUUUGCCAUCCAUUUUUUUCCCAGAUUUUAUUCAUUAAUAUCGAACAGCACAAAUAUUUACAUUCGCUGUUUUAUUAAAUCAUCACCUAACGCCUUAAAACGAAAAUAAAAUACCCAAUACUAAAUCAAAGAAAAAGAGUUGAAUUACAGAUAUUAUUUAGUAUUCAUUAUCAUACAGAAUUGUAAGCUAUCUGAAAUAAAUCUAAGUCAACUGA
Drosophila mojavensis is the source of this 817-nucleotide long non-coding RNA. RefSeq lists it as uncharacterized. Lineage: Eukaryota; Metazoa; Arthropoda; Insecta; Diptera; Drosophilidae. The transcript is spliced from 2 exons. The record is from RefSeq and is a predicted model, not a curated record.